UAGCCUAGUGGUUAAGGCUAUGGAUCGCCAAUCCGGAGAUAGCGGGUUCGAUUCCCGU
Non-coding RNA from Aedes albopictus (Asian tiger mosquito), 58 nucleotides. The record is from Rfam. NCBI's taxonomy places the organism in Eukaryota, Metazoa, Arthropoda, Insecta, Diptera, Culicidae.